UAGAGUUUGAUCAUGGCUCAGAUUGAACGCUGGCGGCAGGCCUAACACAUGCAAGUCGAACGGUAGCACAGAGAGCUUGCUCUCGGGUGACGAGUGGCGGACGGGUGAGUAAUGUCUGGGAAACUGCCUGAUGGAGGGGGAUAACUACUGGAAACGGUAGCUAAUACCGCAUAAUGUCGCAAGACCAAAGAGGGGGACCUUCGGGCCUCUUGCCAUCAGAUGUGCCCAGAUGGGAUUAGCUAGUAGGUGGGGUAACGGCUCACCUAGGCGACGAUCCCUAGCUGGUCUGAGAGGAUGACCAGCCACACUGGAACUGAGACACGGUCCAGACUCCUACGGGAGGCAGCAGUGGGGAAUAUUGCACGAUGGGCGCAAGCCUGAUGCAGCCAUGCCGCGUGUAUGAAGAAGGCCUUCGGGUUGUAAAGUACUUUCAGCGGGGAGGAAGGUGUUGUGGUUAAUAACCACAGCAAUUGACGUUACCCGCAGAAGAAGCACCGGCUAACUCCGUGCCAGCAGCCGCGGUAAUACGGAGGGUGCAAGCGUUAAUCGGAAUUACUGGGCGUAAAGCGCACGCAGGCGGUCUGUCAAGUCGGAUGUGAAAUCCCCGGGCUCAACCUGGGAACUGCAUUCGAAACUGGCAGGCUGGAGUCUUGUAGAGGGGGGUAGAAUUCCAGGUGUAGCGGUGAAAUGCGUAAAGAUCUGGAGGAAUACCGGUGGCGAAGGCGGCCCCCUGGACAAAGACUGACGCUCAGGUGCGAAAGCGUGGGGAGCAAACAGGAUUAAAUACCCUGGUAGUCCACGCCGUAAACGAUGUCGAUUUGGAGGUUGUGCCCUUGAGGCGUGGCUUCCGGAGCUAACGCGUUAAAUCGACCGCCUGGGGAGUACGGC
Molecule: ribosomal RNA, 888 nt
Filed under: uncultured Enterobacter sp.
Lineage: Bacteria; Pseudomonadati; Pseudomonadota; Gammaproteobacteria; Enterobacterales; Enterobacteriaceae
Description: bacterial SSU rRNA
Rfam family: Bacterial small subunit ribosomal RNA
Source: RNAcentral